UACAGAGGUCCCGAGCGUUGUUCGGAUUUAUUGGGCGUAAAGGGUGCGUAGGCGGCGGAGUAAGUUGGGUGUGAAAUCCCGGGGCUUAACCUCGGAAUUGCAUUCAAUACUGCUUCGCUUGAGUACUGGAGAGGAGGCUGGAAUUUACGGUGUAGCAGUGAAAUGCGUAGAUAUCGUAAGGAAGGCCGGUGGCGAAAGCGGCACUCUGGGCCGGUACUGACGCUGAGGAGCGAAAGCGUGGGGAGCGAACAGG
RNAcentral lists this ribosomal RNA (253 nucleotides) under uncultured bacterium. RNAcentral's name for it is "partial 16S ribosomal RNA". It matches the Rfam family "Bacterial small subunit ribosomal RNA", at positions 524 to 776 of the family's 1533-position model. The record is from RNAcentral.